Molecule: transfer RNA, 71 nt
Filed under: Cordylochernes scorpioides
Lineage: Eukaryota; Metazoa; Arthropoda; Arachnida; Pseudoscorpiones; Chernetidae
Description: tRNA-Gly
Source: RNAcentral
UGCAUCGGCCGGGAAUUGAACCCGGGCCGCCCACGUGGCAGGCGAGCAUUCUACCACUGAACCACCGAUGG